AUCGAACGCUGGCGGCAGGCCUAACACAUGCAAGUCGAGCGGAUGAAGGGAGCUUGCUCCUGGCUUCAGCGGCGGUCGGGUGAGUAAUGCCUAGGAAUCUGCCUGGUAGUGGGGGAUAACGUCCGGAAACGGGCGCUAAUACCGCAUACGUCCUGAGGGAGAAUGUGGGGGAUCUUCGGACCUCACGCUAUCAGAUGAGCCUAGGUCGGAUUAGAUAGUUGGUGGGGUCAAGGCCUACCAAGGCGACGAUCCGUAACUCGCCCGAGAGGAUGAUCAGUCACACUGUAACUGAGACACGGUCCAGACUCCUACGGGAGGCAGCAGUGGGGAAUAUUGCACGAUGGGCGAGAGCCUGAUCCAGCCAUGCCGCGUGUGUGAAGAAGGUCUUCGGAUGGUAGAGCACUUUAAGUUGGGAGGAAGGGAAGUAAGUUAAUACCUGGCUGUUUUGACGGUACCAACAGAAUAAGCACCGGCUAACUUCGUG
RNAcentral lists this ribosomal RNA (484 nucleotides) under uncultured bacterium. RNAcentral's name for it is "partial 16S ribosomal RNA". It matches the Rfam family "Bacterial small subunit ribosomal RNA", at positions 30 to 507 of the family's 1533-position model. The record is from RNAcentral.